CGUCAUUCAAUACCAGGAGUGCCUAAUCAUCCAUCAUCCAUUCGUGCAAUCAGUAAGCAUUUACGGAACAUGUACCUGCGCUUCCUCCUGUCCUGGGCCCUGGAGGCAAAGCAGUUUGGGCCUCUGCCCUAACAUGGAUCACAUUCUUGUGGAGAAGCUGGGGAGGAAAUGGAAAAUUACGGUGGAGCGUGUUGAGAGCUGCAGCAGGCACACAGCUUGUGUGCACAUACUCUGCCCUGGGGAUGACGGAUGGAGAAAUUCCGCAGGGGAGGUGCUAUGCUGCUGCUGCUGCCGCUGCUGCGUGGCUUCAGUUGUGUCCGACUCUGUGCGACCCCAGAGACGGCAGCCCACCAGGCUCCCCUGUCCCUGGGAUUCUCCAGGCAAGAACUCUGGAGUGGGUUGCCAUUUCCUUCUCCAGUGCAUGAAAGUGAAAAGUGAAAGUGAAGUCGCUCAGUCGUGCCCGACUCUUCGCGACCCUAUGGACUGCAGCCUACCAGCCUCCUCCGUCCAUGGGAUUUUCCAGGCAAGAAUACUGGAAUGGGGGGGGCCAUCGCCUUCUCCGGGGAGGUGCUAUAGAGAAGGAAUAAUCCCCUCUAGAGUGGAGAAAGUCCCGAGUAAUCCUUCAGAAAAAGUGGCAGCUGACCUGGGAAACGCUGCGAUUCGGCGGGGUCAGGCAGAGCAAGGCAUCAGGCCAUGUGCCGUGGGCUGGCAGAAGUGGAGAAGCUCAGUAAGUGAUGUCGUGAUGUGCUGGAAAACAGAAAGCCUGCUGUCAAUUUCAUAAUGAAGCAAAAGCGCCUGUUAUGAGUCGUAUCCUUUUGUGUCCAAAUGCAGGGACCAGAGCCUCUAAGUCUGCCCUUGGGGCAUCUCUUCUCUUGCCUUUUGGCUCUUUAACUUCUGUGCCAUAAUUAACCCCUUUUUGUGCCACCUCCUCUUCAGUUACAC
Molecule: long non-coding RNA, 942 nt
Filed under: Capra hircus (goat)
Lineage: Eukaryota; Metazoa; Chordata; Mammalia; Artiodactyla; Bovidae
Description: lncRNA (ENSCHIG00000005241.1)
Source: RNAcentral